RNAcentral lists this ribosomal RNA (260 nucleotides) under uncultured bacterium. Its description in RNAcentral is "partial 16S ribosomal RNA". It matches the Rfam family "Bacterial small subunit ribosomal RNA", at positions 94 to 354 of the family's 1533-position model. The record is from RNAcentral.
AGUGGCGGACGGGUGAGUAACGCGUGGGUAACCUGCCCUGUACUGGGGGACAACAGUUAGAAAUGACUGCUAAUACCGCAUAAGCGCACAGGACCGCAUGGUCCGGUGUGAAAAACUCCGGUGGUAUGAGAUGGACCCGCGUCUGAUUAGCUGGUUGGCGGGGUAACGGCCCACCAAGGCGACGAUCAGUAGCCGACCUGAGAGGGUGGCCGGCCACAUUGGGACUGAGACACGGCCCAAACUCCUACGGAAGGCAGCAG